AUUGAACGCUGGCGGCAGGCCUAACACAUGCAAGUCGAACGAGUGGCGGACGGGUGAGUAAUGUCUGGGAAACUGCCUGAUGGAGGGGGAUAACCAGUGGAAACGGUAGCUAAUACCGCAUACCAUCAGAUGUGCCCAGAUGGGAUUGGCUAGUGGGUGGGGUAACGGCUCACAAACGAGACGAUCCCUAGCUGGUCUGAGAGGAUGACCAGCCACACGGGAACUGAGACACGGUCCAGAGUCCGACGGGAGGAAGCAGUGGGGAAUAUUGGACAAGGGGCGCAAGCCUGAUGCAGCCAUGCCGCGUGUAUGAAGAAGGCCUUCGGGUUGUAAAGUACUUUCAGCGGGGAGGCGUUACCCGCAGAAGAAGCACCGGCUAACUCCGUGCCAGCAGCCGCGGUAAUUC
This 406-nucleotide ribosomal RNA is filed under the name uncultured bacterium. RNAcentral's name for it is "partial 16S ribosomal RNA". It matches the Rfam family "Bacterial small subunit ribosomal RNA", at positions 29 to 526 of the family's 1533-position model. The record is from RNAcentral.